CCUACGGGAGGCAGCAGUGGGGAAUAUUGCACAAUGGGCGCAAGCCUGAUGCAGCCAUGCCGCGUGCAUGAAGAAGGCCUUCGGGUUGUAAAGUGCUUUUGUACGGAACGAAAAAGCUUCUCCUAAUACGAGAGGCCCAUGACGGUACCGUAAGAAUAAGCACCGGCUAACUACGUGCCAGCAGCCGCGGUAAUACGUAGGGUGCGAGCGUUAAUCGGAAUUACUGGGCGUAAAGCGUGCGCAGGCGGUUUGCUAAGACCGAUGUGAAAUCCCCGGGCUCAACCUGGGAACUGCAUUGGUGACUGGCAGGCUAGAGUAUGGCAGAGGGGGGUAGAAUUCCACGUGUAGCAGUGAAAUGCGUAGAGAUGUGGAGGAAUACCGAUGGCGAAGGCAGCCCCCUGGGCCAAUACUGACGCUCAUGCACGAAAGCGUGGGGAGCAAACAGGAUUAGAUACCCGGGUAGUC
Molecule: ribosomal RNA, 465 nt
Filed under: Salmonella enterica subsp. enterica serovar Anatum
Lineage: Bacteria; Pseudomonadati; Pseudomonadota; Gammaproteobacteria; Enterobacterales; Enterobacteriaceae
Description: bacterial SSU rRNA
Rfam family: Bacterial small subunit ribosomal RNA
Source: RNAcentral